AUGAACGCUGGCGGCGUGUCUAAGGCAUGCAAGUCGUGCGAUCGCUAUGUAGCAAUACGUAGCGGGAGCGGCAAACGGGUGCGUAACACAUUGGUAACCUACCCUGCAUUGGGGGACAACCCACCGAAAGGUGAGCUAAUACCCCGUAUAAUCCCCAGGCGCAAGCCGAGGGAUGAGAGCCCAAAAGGCGAUGCAGGAGGGGCCUAUGCCCUAUCAGCUUGUUGGUGAGGUAAAAGCUCACCAAGGCUUUGACGGGUGGGGGGCGUGAGAGCGCGACCCCCCUCACUGGGACUGAGACACUGCCCAGACACCUACGGGUGGCUGCAGUCGAGAAUAUUCCUCAAUGGCCGAAAGGCUGAAGGAGCGACGCCGCGUGCAGGAAGAAGGCCUUCGGGUUGUAAACUGCUUUUUUCAGGGACGAAUUCUGACGGUACCUGGAGAAUAAGAGGUUGCUAACUCUGU
This 462-nucleotide ribosomal RNA is filed under the name uncultured bacterium. RNAcentral describes it as "bacterial SSU rRNA". It matches the Rfam family "Bacterial small subunit ribosomal RNA", at positions 29 to 506 of the family's 1533-position model. The record is from RNAcentral.